Molecule: long non-coding RNA, 715 nt
Organism: Herpailurus yagouaroundi (jaguarundi)
Lineage: Eukaryota; Metazoa; Chordata; Mammalia; Carnivora; Felidae
Exons: 3
Source: RefSeq, a predicted model, not a curated record
AUUCCUCUGUGGGCAAGGACGCAGAGCUGAGCUGAGGGGGAGUCACGCAGACUCUGGGACGGCAGGGCGCUCCCCAGACCCAGCCGGCCCUCCGGACACAUUGCCUGAGGAAAGAGGCUCCAUAGCCAUUCUCCCAGGCCCUUGUAUAUAUUUCUUUUUAAACUGCCUUAUUUGGAAAAUGAAUAACAUGCCAUAAAACAGAGCCUCAGGAUUCUUUUCCAUCUUUCCUGUCCCUAAUAUGCUUCUGAAUUUCAAAACAGAUUUCCGUCAUGACCCAAGCAGGCCAGAGGUCACGCUUUUGCCAAUGACCUUGGGAUGUACCACUUUCUCCCUUCAUAACUUCCUAUGAGGAAUGGAGGUAUUCUGAAGCUGCAUGGCUCACAUAAGGUCACAAAGCUGGUCAGUAACAGAGUGUCUCAGUCUUUGGGGGCUGCUCUCAGAAAAUACCACAGACCGAGUGGCUUAUAAACAACAGAAGUUUACUGCUCACGGUUCAAGAAGCUGGAAGUCCAAGAUCAGAAUGCCACCACGGUCAGGUUCUGGGGAAGGCCCUCUCUGGGUCGAGUGUGGCUCACUUCUCACUGUGUCUUCACAUGGCCGAAGGGAACUACAACCUGUGGGGAAGGCAGGUGCAUAUGCAACGGGCCGAGAUGCAUCCAAGUGGAGCGGAAGCUAUGUGUCAGUGAGCGCUGAGGAAAACACAGCUCUAAACAAA